CGUUGAAACAUCGGUUUCCGUACAAUCAUCGAAGUUAAGCAACAUCGAGCCUAGUCAGUAUCUAAAUGGGUGACCGUUUGGGAAUACCAGAUGCUGUAA
Acanthosepion pharaonis is the source of this 99-nucleotide non-coding RNA. NCBI's taxonomy places the organism in Eukaryota, Metazoa, Mollusca, Cephalopoda, Sepiida, Sepiidae. The record is from the annotation of a GenBank genome assembly.